This 118-nucleotide ribosomal RNA is filed under the name Streptococcus sanguinis. The record is from RNAcentral. Lineage: Bacteria; Bacillati; Bacillota; Bacilli; Lactobacillales; Streptococcaceae.
UUAAGUGACGAUAGCCUAGGAGAUACACCUGUACCCAUGCCGAACACAGCAGUUAAGCCCUAGAACGCCGGAAGUAGUUGGGGGUUGCCCCCUGUGAGAUAUAUGGUAGUCGCUUAGC